GUUAUGGAAUUGCUGCCAUUUUCUAAUCGACUGACAUUCGAUAACAUGCCCAAGUACUUCCAACACCUAUGGUGUAAAGUCAACUUUCAAGCAUUGGCCUCUGUUCCUCACAUCAGACAUCUCGGAGAUGCCAUUAUAAAUCGCUUGAGGUAUCCUAAUGAAGAGAACAUGGUUAGUGACAACUACCUUAGAGAGGUUACUGAUCUUAAGCCCAAACAAGGAGCUGGCAAGUAUGCUGUUCUUCAUCUUCGCUUUGACAAGGUAGGAAAACACCUUACCAAUGUUGAACUAGCUAUCCUGCUGUAUUUCCCUGUCUAAUAUUAGUACUUCCACUUUCGAGAAAAGAUCGGUUUUCCUCUGAUGCCUGUUAAAGGUAAUAUUACACUACGUAUUGAUGAACUUUUGGACUUGCUAUCUCUCUAGGAUAUGGCUGCUCAUUCAGCCUGUGAUUUUGGUGGCGGCGAGGCUGAAAACAAUUUAUUGAUGAAGAAUUAAGGAGCCAAGGAUGGUGUCCAUUGACCCCCAAAGAGGUUGGGUUGCUGCUGGCAGCUUUAGGAUUUGACGAUAGCACUCGCCUAUAUCUUGCCUCCCAUAAGUUCUUUGCUAAGAUUCUGUAUUUAUAAAACUAUAUCCCUUUCUUUAAGUGAAUACAUGAAGUAAAGCCGGUAUUUUUGUGUCCUGAAGCUUUUCUUUGUUCCUGUUCUUUUCUAGGUUUAUGGCGGGGAACGCCGGGUUUCGGCCUUGAGAAGUUUGUUUCCCCUGAUGGAAGACAAAAAGAGCCUUGCAUCUUCUGAGGAAAGAGCUCUUAUCAAAGGGAAGGCGUCCUUGUUGGCUGCAGUUGUACUUGCCUCUGUUCCAUGCAUCGUACAAUUGUUAUCACCAUUGCUAAUUUGAAUGUGAUUGGUUUCUGAAUUAAAUUGGGUCAGUUGCAUCUGUUCAACACAAUCAUGAUUCAUGAGGUAUGCCAAAAUUUUCCCAAACCUUCCAUUCAGUGCCACCAAAUAUAGCUCCUCCCCAGAGAUAGUUAAGGGAGCCCCUACUCUUCAUAAAUGAUUGAUGCCAUGAAAUAGUUUUAUCAUCAAAAUAUAUAGGCACCAUAUUUAUUCUAUGAGCUAUAGGAGUUUCAUCAUCAAUGGUAAAAGUCCCACCUUAUAUAGUCAAAUUCUAAAGUCAUUGCCAUUUGAAUGGAGGAAAAUUCAAUUUCAAUGUUCGAGCAGAGGGGAAUAAUAGGGUAGGUCUCAUAAUACCUUGUGAUUUGAGACCAAAUUGUAUAAUGUUCCGGUCCUGCUUUUAGUCGAUGUUGAUCCUCUAUGUUGGCUUUGCAAUUGGAAUCCAUUAAUAGCAGUCCUUAGCUCCCCCAUAAGCUGAAGACUAUUGGCUUCCCUUUGUUCCAUUUGUUCCUGCAUUUUGAGAAGCUCAGCCUGCUGACCAGCCAAAUCCUCUAACAACUCAGUAAGUUUGGAAUUUUGCCAUUGCGCCAUUUUCUCAUCGACCGACAUUCGAUAACAUGCCCAAGUACCUCCAACACCUACGGUGUAAAGUCAACUUUCAAGCAUUGGCCUUUGUUCCUCACAUCAGACAUCUCGAAGAUGCCAUUAUAAAUCGCUUGAGGUAUCCUAAUGAAGAGAACAUGGUUAGUGACAACUACCUUAGAGAGGUUUCUGAUCUUAAGCCCAAACAAGGAGCUGGCAAGUAUGCUGUUCUUCAUCUUCG
Molecule: long non-coding RNA, 1713 nt
Filed under: Capsicum annuum
Lineage: Eukaryota; Viridiplantae; Streptophyta; Magnoliopsida; Solanales; Solanaceae
Description: long non-coding RNA (CANN_LNC019004)
Source: RNAcentral